GGUCUGGUGCCCGAGCAGCUAGGGAACGGUCUGCAAAACCGUUUUACGCGGGUGCAAAUCCCGCCCAGACCU
This 72-nucleotide transfer RNA is filed under the name bacterium. RNAcentral describes it as "tRNA-Cys". It matches the Rfam family "tRNA". From Rfam's summary of the family: Transfer RNA (tRNA) molecules are approximately 80 nucleotides in length. The record is from RNAcentral.